GUGAAUCAUCGAAUUUUUGAACGCAAAUUGCGCCUUUUUCGGAAGGCAUGUCUGUUGGUGUUCACCAUUUAACAAAUAAUGUGCAUUUCAUUUGCACACGUUGAUGGGCGUUCCAAAAUUAUGUAUUAUUAUUUUUCGUGGCGCAUAAUAAACAGCGCGAUGCUUUUUUUCAUUUCGAGUGUAUUAAAGUUUUUUUUUGCUUUGGUUGUGAAAA
RNAcentral lists this unclassified non-coding RNA (214 nucleotides) under Paraglomus occultum. RNAcentral's name for it is "partial internal transcribed spacer 2". The record is from RNAcentral. Lineage: Eukaryota; Fungi; Glomeromycota; Glomeromycetes; Paraglomerales; Paraglomeraceae.